UUACGGCCAUAUGAUGUUGAAAGACUGAUUCUCGUACGAUCACUGAAGUUAAGCAAUGUCGAGCCUGGUCAGUAUUUAGAUGGGUAACUGCUGGGGAAUACCAGAUGCUGUAAG
This is a non-coding RNA of Acanthosepion pharaonis, 114 nucleotides long. The record is from the annotation of a GenBank genome assembly. Lineage: Eukaryota; Metazoa; Mollusca; Cephalopoda; Sepiida; Sepiidae.